UCGCGCAUCUCCUCCCCCGCGUCGUCUCGUUCGUUGCCGCGAGUUCCGUGAACCUUCCUGGCGUUCGAACUCGAGACCAGAUCAACCUCGCCGCCGAGGCCACGAAGCAGGCCGACCUCCUCGCCGGCCAGAUCAAGCACCUCGCCCAACCUCCCCGUGGCCUCGAUCCCGCCCAUCCCCACGAUCCCGGCGCGGGCCAACUCGGAGCAGAAGCCACGACUCGGAGGUAAUUUCGAUCUCUGGUAGAAGUCUAGGGUAUCCUUGGCCGCGACUCCAAGUUCUCUGCUGGAAGCCUAGGUCGUAGAGAUUGUAGGCGGGCUUCUUCCUUGAUCGCUAUUGCCAUGGAGAGAUCAGUCGUGAGUAGGGGCGGAUCUGCACACCCGGGGCGAGCUCAUCCAAUCGAUGAAGGCGGAUGACCGAUGCACCGAAUACUAGUAUAGUAUUUUGCACUUUUGUAUUGUUUUAGUAUGACACUAGUAUAGUAUUUUGAACAAUUUCGAGAUCCGCUACUGUUCGAGAGCAGAUCAGUUCCUGAGCAGAACAGUCCCAUUGCGAUCGUCGGUAGUUGGGUUUAGGUACAAGUGGGCCCUAGAUUUUGUAAUUUGGCAACUCAAAAUAGCAAACUAUUGGAGAUGACAUAAAAUUUCAUUUGCCAUCUAUUUUAGCAACUUGCCAAAACUCAAGAUUUGGCAAGCCAAAUUUUGCCAAUUGUUGGAGAUGCUCUUA
Molecule: long non-coding RNA, 726 nt
Filed under: Sorghum bicolor (sorghum)
Lineage: Eukaryota; Viridiplantae; Streptophyta; Magnoliopsida; Poales; Poaceae
Description: long non-coding RNA (SBIC_LNC003587)
Source: RNAcentral